RNAcentral lists this ribosomal RNA (464 nucleotides) under uncultured bacterium. Its description in RNAcentral is "partial 16S ribosomal RNA". It matches the Rfam family "Bacterial small subunit ribosomal RNA", at positions 339 to 795 of the family's 1533-position model. The record is from RNAcentral.
CUACGGGACGCUGCAGUGGGGAAUAUUGCACAAUGGGCGCAAGCCUGAUGCAGCCAUGCCGCGUGUAUGAAGAAGGCCUUCGGGUUGUAAAGUACUUUCAGCGGGGAGGAAGGGAGUAAAGUUAAUACCUUUGCUCAUUGACGUUACCCGCAGAAGAAGCACCGGCUAACUCCGUGCCAGCAGCCGCGGUAAUACGGAGGGUGCAAGCGGUAAUCGGAAUUACUGGGCGUAAAGCGCACGCAGGCGGUUUGUUAAGUCAGAUGUGAAAUCCCCGGGCUCAACCUGGGAACUGCAUCUGAUACUGGCAAGCUUGAGUCUCGUAGAGGGGGGUAGAAUUCCAGGUGUAGCGGUGAAAUGCGUAGAGAUCUGGAGGAAUACCGGUGGCGAAGGCGGCCCCCUGGACGAAGACUGACGCUCAGGUGCGAAAGCGUGGGGAGCAAACAGGAUUAGAUACCCCGGUAGUC